ACUAUUUUUCAUGGUAAAUGAGCAUCUUUCAAUUGUUUUUAUCAAAUAAUUUAGUAAAACUUCAUAAUACUCCCUAAAUCGAUGGAAUAACCACUAUAAAGUUAUUAUUUUCUUGAUAAACGGAGACGGCAAAGGCUCCAAACCUCUUUGAACAUCAUCAUAUGUUAGUGCAGAAUGCAACUAGGCAUUAAAACAAUAUUGUCAUAUUUUUUGAAAUUUUCUCAAAAUCUAUGGGCUAACUAACCCCUACAAAAAUAUUAAGUUUUUGGUAAAUACUAUAUAUACGGAAGCCUAUAAUCUUUAGUGUUGUUUUAAAAUUUCUAUCAUAUUCUACAUUUGUAUUAAUGUAUGCUAAACUACUUUUCAUGGUAAAUGAGCAUCUUUCAAUUGUUUUUAACAAAUAAUUUAAUAAAACUUCAUAAUACUCCCUAAAUCGAUGGAAUAACCACUAUAAAAUUACUAUUUUCUUGGUAAACGGAGACGACAAAGGCUCCAAACCUCUUUGAACAUCAUCAUAUGUUAGUGCAGGAUGAAACUAGGCAUUAAAACAAUAUUGUCAUAUUUUUUGAAAUUUUCUCAAAAUCUAUGGGUCCCCUACACAAAUAAUGAGUUUUUGGUAAAUACUUUAUAAACUGAAGCCUAUAAUCUUUAGUGUUGUUUUAAAAUUUAUACCAUAUUCUACAUUUGUAUUCAUGUAUUUUAAACUCUUUUUCAUGGUAAAUGAGCAUCUUUCAAUUGUUUUUAUCAAAUAAUUUACUAAAACUUCAUAAUACUCCCUAAAUCGAUGGAAUAACCACUAUAAAGUUAUUAUUUUCUUGAUAAACGGAGACGGCAAAGGCUCCAAACCUCUUUGAACAUCAUCAUAUGUUAGUGCAGAAUGCAACUAGGCAUUAAAACAAUAUUGUCAUAUUUUUUGAAAUUUUCUCAAAAUCUAUGGGCUAACUAACCCCUACAAAAAUAUUAAGUUUUUGGUAAAUACUUUAUAUACUGAAGCCUAUAAUCUUUAGUGUUGUUUUAAAAUUUCUAUCAUAUUCUACAUUUGUAUUAAUGUAUGCUAAAAUCUUUUUCACGGUAAAUGAGCAUCGUUCAAUUGUUUUCAUCAAUUAAUUUAGUAAAACUUCAUAAUACCUCCUAAAUCGAUGAAAUAACCACUAUA
This 1156-nucleotide long non-coding RNA is filed under the name Brassica napus (rape). Its description in RNAcentral is "long non-coding RNA (BNAP_LNC000919)". Lineage: Eukaryota; Viridiplantae; Streptophyta; Magnoliopsida; Brassicales; Brassicaceae. The record is from RNAcentral.